RNAcentral lists this long non-coding RNA (1534 nucleotides) under Sus scrofa (pig). RNAcentral's name for it is "lncRNA (ENSSSCG00050009214.1)". The record is from RNAcentral. Lineage: Eukaryota; Metazoa; Chordata; Mammalia; Artiodactyla; Suidae.
UUUUUUUUUUUUUUUUUUGCUUUUCAGGGCUGGCUGAACUCACAGCAAAUGGAAGUUCCCAGGUUAAGGCUGAAUAGGAGCUGCAGCUGCCAGCCUACACCACAGCCACAGCAACACCAGAUCCAAUCCACAGCUCACAGCGAUGCCAGAUCCUUAACCCAAUGAGCAAGGCCAGGGAUUGAACCCUCAUCCUCAUGGACUCUAGCUGGGUUCGUAACCUGUUGAGCCACAAUAGGAAUUUCCACAACUGUACUUCAUUUAAAAAAAUAAAAUUAAAAUAAAUAAAAAGAAUCAUAUUGUAAGGUGAAGGCUAAGUCCAAGUUUUGUUAUGAAAACUCGGAUUUUCCUAUAUUAUAUUUAGUUUACUCAGAGCAGAUCUCUCUCUCUCUCUCUUUCACACACACACACACACACACACACACACACACACACAGAGGUAGAUAUGCGCACAGAUAAAUAUGUCUCAAUUGCCUUGAUAGCCUGUGCUAUUUGCUUCCAGGAUUCAUUUAUCACAAUGGAGGAGGGAGAAAAAAGCCAGGGGACAAGACAGGUAAUUUGCAUGACUGAAUUUUUAAAUAAAAUGUCCCUAGACCAAUCCCAUUUUCGACUUAAGUUGUUUUUCCAUUGCAUGAGUGGUUUAGAAACUACAAAACUCGAGAGGGAAGACGAUGGAGCAAACUGAAACACUGGCUUCGAACCUCAAAUGACCAUGCGUUUAGUGGGAGUGUAUCACUGUACUUCCUUAAUCCGGCCAUCUGGCAAGGGGUUGUCCAUGUGAUUAAUGAGAGGCCAUCGUACAACAUUGCCAGAAGGGAAACAAUUCCACUCACCCAUACAGCUAAACCAUAAUUACUAUGCAAAUGAUUUCGCUGCCCACACACACUUGGGGCAAGAGGUGGUGGCUCCGCAUGUGAGGAAUAAAGGAGGAGAAGGAGGAAGCAAACUGCUGGUAAGUCAUCCUCUCAAGUCUUUUUUUUCCUCCCCAGUUUCUCUCAACCCAAGUUUUUGUCUUAGAUUAUCACCUACUUGUUCUCCUGGAAUCCUUUUCAAAUCUACCUCCUUGCUUCGUCCUCUGCCCCAUUCAUAGGUACUGUGACCUGGGGGUUGGCACUUGCCAUCCGCCUCUACACGGAUGGCAUCAUGAGCCACCGCACCUGCCGGCCCUCAACACCCCCUGAAAGGAGCUCGGGGUGGGGACCAGGAGGGAGGCACUCUGCGCUCUGGGAAAAUGGGCAGAACAGGUCUUCAGAUAUUGUCAGGAGAAGAUUUUAUGGGCCCAAUUCUUGCAAAUCCUUGUAUCUAGAAAAGCCCUCGAAUCCUUCAUGGUGACGUCUGCUCACGAGACCAGCAGCGACCUUCUGUAAAAAUGUGGCUCGGCUUCAUGUCCCUCCCCCUUCACCAAAAUCUCACACUUGCUGACCUUCGUCCUACCUCUUUGGAGCAGUAUUUCAGAUCUAUCUGAAGUGCUGCCUCCCAGAUUAUAGUCCUCAUUUUGCCCCAAAUAAAACUUAACUCUCAACAUUUAGGUUGUGCA